Myodes glareolus (Bank vole) is the source of this 2435-nucleotide long non-coding RNA. RefSeq lists it as uncharacterized. Lineage: Eukaryota; Metazoa; Chordata; Mammalia; Rodentia; Cricetidae. The record is from RefSeq and is a predicted model, not a curated record.
CUGCCUCAGAAAGCAAGCAAAAGAAGUAAAGGAAAAGACAAAAUGACUUUGGUUAUCCUUUCCUUCACCAUUAAUAAAAGAAGGAAAGCCUCUGAGAUAGCCUCGCCAGCCCUGACUGAGGACUGGACCAGUUACGGAACUCUGAUUCAGAGCCCUUUGCUUCCAUCGGAUGGUGAGAUGGUGUUUUACUUCUCCAUCAUGGGAGGCUGCGGUGCAGUAGAGGAAGCAGGGUGCUGGGGUGCUGCCUCGCAGCUACACCACAACCUCUUGGCCACCCCAGCGGCGGGGGUGCCAUCCAGUCUUCAGUACAUCACUGUCAGUGUGUGUCUGUGGCCGCCUCUGGGUGUGUGUGUUUCUUUUUGUAUCUCCGUGUCAGUGUCAGGCCAUGUGUGUCUAUUUAUGUCGGCCUGUCUAGGCGUGCUCAGUGUGACAGGGAGCUGGGGGCGGUGUUGGUAAAGGAAGACAUUUCCAAGCCUCAGCUUUCCCCUCGGGGACAUCAGGAUGCUGGUAUAUAUGUACUUGCACAUAUAUAGAUACAGAGCUUUUGUCAUGCUGUUCAUUGGAUGGGGGCUGCAUUCAAGUGUCUGGCCAGGUAUGGCCUCAGCAGUGGCCUGACUGGGGAAGCCCCAUCUGCCAAGAGCACACAGAGUUGCCUUCCCGCCCUCCCUGUCCAUGGGGAGCCUGUCACUUCGCAGUUUACCAUCUACUCUCUAAUUUAUUAGAUGGGAAGGAGGAGAAAAUGAAAUGUUGCCUGAAGACAAUGGCCGAGACAGCUCGUCCCACCCUGCACAGCCGCCAGCGCCUCCUUCCCCAGCCUUGACUCCUCUGUCGUGAGUCUGCACAUUACUCUGCUAACCCUGAGGUGAUGGAAGAUGAGGAAUCAGCAGAGCCUGUCUCCUCGGGUCCUCCUAGAACCCCCUGCCAAGCCUGCUCUUCCUCUGGCCUGUAUGCUGCAGUGGUGGAAAGCCACUCCAACCCAGCCCAGAGCGUCCGGCGAAAGGAAGUGAUGGGUCAGGCUCUGUUCAGCUCUUUUGGAAAGAGAGAAGUCGCAACUCCUGCUAGGGUCACAGGACGAAUACAGAGCCAAGCUGCUUCAGAAACAGAAGAAUGGAGCAGGAAAGAAAAUGCAACGUCACCACCCUGUCACCACCCUGAGGCCACUGCACAGGGUGCAACCCAGCCACCAGGGACUCGGCAGGAGACCAGGGAAAGUGCCCCACAGCCCUCCUAGAGUGCCUCUGUCGUUGACGUGGCAACUCCUCCACGCCUGCCCAUGCCACACCUUUCAGGACUGUUCUGGGUCUGCCGUGCUGUGGGACACUCUGUCCAGCCACUUGGGAAACGGAAACUUCACCACGGCAUUUCCACCCUGGAGAACUAGGCAGCACACUGGGAAGCAGCCAGGGAAGGGACUCCAGCCUCCCAGGAGUUAAAGAUGCCUCUCCCCAGCUGUCCUCCCCUUGGUGCUCCUUUUCCUCCCUCCUUCUGCUCACAGCAGGCAGGGCCUGGAACCAGGAGCCAUGCUGCUAUGCUGUUGCCAGGGGAGCUGGGAGGCAGAUUGGAGCUAUGCAGGGAAAAGGCUCAGCCUGUCAAAGUGUCUGAGAUGAACCACCGCCAUCCUGUGCAGCUGGGCUCAGCUGUGUCUCGGCUCUUGUUCUGUGCCUGAGAACGGUGAAGCCCAGUGAGGUUCAAGGGCACACUCGCUAUUCAUUAGUCAGGGGUUCUUGACGUCCUGUCUCUCCCAGGCAUGGGUUCCCCCCUUCCUCUUUCUCUCCCUCCUGUGACACAUUCCUGGGUGCCUGUGGUGAGGACUGCACACCCCCUCCUGCAUGGCCCCCUCCACACAAAUCCUGAAUCAACUCCUGUUAAGGACACCGGGCGGGACAGAGACAAUGGCUUCAAGAAACCAUUCAGGCGGGACCCCAGCCACAUUCGCCUGCCCUCCACUCCCAGUGCCCCUACAGAUCCAACUCUGCUGUGACUCAGGGCACCCUUGGGCCCCCAGCUUGCACAAGCCUAGACAGGAGCAGGCCACUAGGUACUGCCCUACACAACAGGCCAGCGAAGUGCUAUUCUCAGUGGGCCCCUCAGUGGGCGCCUCUAUCCCACUGGCUAGAUAUUUUUGUGCAGUUGUUUGGGGACUAGAAACUGUACAGUAUUUUCUGAAAUGUCACAAUGUCAACAUGUAAAAGGUGCAUUUACUUGGUUACUAAUUUUAUGACUAGGAAUUUUCUCCAGAUACAUUGGGAAGGUUUGCUAAGAAGCAUGGACAAGGAACUGCGGUUCAACUACUGUGUCAUUUACUACUGUGGAAUGCUACAGAGCCGUAAAAGUGUGGCAAUCUCUGCACACCAGUGAUAUCCAAGGCUGACUGAUAAACUUAAGUGGAUAUAAUCUAUUCAGACAAAUAAUAAAUAAAUAAUAAUAUAUUACAG